GAAAUGGGUCAUACCUGAUAUUACCAGAGCACACAGCAGUAUGAGUCAUAAUAUUUUUCAGUACUUUUAGUUGUACUCAAGUAAAUUAUUCCUUAAGUAGCAAUAUUUUUACUUAAGUACAAUUUCUCAGUACUCUUUCCAGCACUGCCAACUACAGUCAAAAAUAUUAUCAAAGUCUUGACAGGAGAGAGUCAUAAUAAUAUACUAAUGUUGGUUUUGUAGAAUUAUUAAUUCAACUUUAUGAUUUGAUACAAUUCACAACAGUUUAGCUAUUAGAAGAUAUAAUGUUUUAAAAAAUAUUUUUUUAUUCUCACUUCAGUAACUGUAUUUUGUGUCUGUUAAUGAGCGACUGUCUUCAGGUAAAUGAUCUGGAGUGUGUUUGCAUAUUGAUCAGAUGCUUCAGUGCUCUGAGAGUGUUUAUAGUGCUGUGAGUUUAACACUUCAUCACUGACACACACAACAAUCUUCAUCAACAUGACCUUCAUCAUCAUCUUCAUCUGGACUCUCACAGCGUUUGCUCAAGAGUGUAGAGGACAGAUCACCGUCACUCAGAGUCCCUCAACGACAGCAGCUCGACCAGAAGAAACAGUCAAAAUCAACUGUAAAACCAGUAGAGAUGUGUACAGUUAUUAUGGGUCAUACUAUUUCAGCUGGUACUUACAGAAACCUGGAGAAGCUCCUAAACUCCUGAUUUAUGCAACAAGCAACCGCCAGUCAGGAACUCCAUCUAGAUUCAGUGGCAGUGGAUCUGGGACUGAUUUCACUCUGACCAUCAGUGGAGUCCAGACUGAAGAUGCUGGACAUUAUUACUGUCAGAGUUUUCAUUGCAGAACAGAUUCUGAUGGUGAUUGUGAGGGUGAUGAUGUGUUCACACAGUGAUAAAGAGUCGUACAAAAACCUCCGUCAGUCAGAGUCACAGAGACUGAACUGAUCCUGCAGCUGCUCAAACACUAUCACUCACUACUGACACACAGAGACAAACACAGCAACUACACAUGAGCUCAAAACUGAGUUAGGAGUCAAAUUAGACUGUGAUUUGUCUUGUGACAGACGAGUUUGACUCCGAAUCAGAGAAAACAGUGUGUAAACUGAUAUCAAACAGACAAUAA
Molecule: non-coding RNA, 1109 nt
Organism: Onychostoma macrolepis
Lineage: Eukaryota; Metazoa; Chordata; Actinopteri; Cypriniformes; Cyprinidae
Source: the annotation of a RefSeq genome assembly